UGGGUCUUGCUGGGCUGCGGCAGUGAGCCCGAAGUGGGUGUCUGAAGGACUGAGCGACCUUGACACCAGCCUGACACAACGGGCCAUUCUUGCAGCAGGCUGGACGGAAUGAGUCAUUGAGGCACUGUAGUCUGGGACUUUGUCUUGCACCCUCCACCCACCCUCUUUUCCCUCCCCUUCCCCAUCUGUGUGUGGCCACCAACCGAAAGGUCUAUUGCUGUAUACCACCGAUAGCUCCCGAAAAUCUAGAGAGGCCUCCUUGACUCCACAAAGGAGCCUCUAUGCUCUGGACGGGAGCGUCUGAAUGGGAGCCUUCUUUUCUCUGUAACAUCAAUGGGGCUCCUUCUGCGCGCUCUGUAGACUUGGGCCUUCAAAGAACCAUCCCUGUGGCGUUUGAGGCCAUAGCACUCCCCUCCUAUGGCCUUCCGUUCUCAUUUCAAAUCACAACACUGGCGGCUCGUAACGGACGAGGCUCUCGCCAAGAACGGGAUGGAGUUCCUUUGGCUGAUCCUGACACUCUGCGCCCUGGUCAAAACCAACCCAGCAGAUGUAAUCACGAACGGACCCCCUAAGGGAAUCGUUCUCCGCAAUGAUCCAGGAUUCCUUAUAACUAACUGCAGAGUACUAACGCAGAGGGUGUUCGUCCGCCUAGAUGCAGAGAACAUGUACCGCCAACACAUUCCACCUUCGGCGCAUUUGAGUUGGACUGGGGCUGACUGGACCACCUAGGCAGGACAAUGUCCCAACUCACAUCCAGGCUGUCAAAGGGCUAUUUGACCAAGAAGGAGAGUGAUGGAGUGCUAUAUCAGAUGACCUGGCCUCCACAAUCACCUGACCUAAACCCAAUUGAGAUGGUUUGGGAUGCGUUGGACCUCAGAGUGGAAAAGAAAAGCAGCCAACAAUUGCUCAGCAUAUGUGGGAACUCCUUCAAGCUGACUGAGAGAAUGCCGAAUUGUGCAAAGCUGUCAUCAAGGCAAAGGGUGGCUACUUUGAAGAAUUUAACAUAUAAAAUAUUUUUUGAUUUGUUUAAUUUUUUUUGUUAACACAUGAUUCCAUAUGUGUUAUUUCAUAGUUUCGAUGUCUUCACUAUUAUUCUACAAUUUAGAAAAUAAGAAAAAUUAAGAAAAAGUAGGUGUGCACACUUUUGACUGGUACUGUACUUUAUGCUCUGGCUCAGCCCAUCAGAUGGCCUGAAUGUGUUUGCAUUGCGGAGAAUAAAAUACGUCCAUGGGUGUGGCGUAGCAUUUGUAAGUUGAGUAAACACAUGGCUCUAUGCAAACUCAAUUUGAUUUAAUACAUUUUGACAUUUUGAGUGAGUUGGAACAACUCAACUUAACAUGUUUGGUCAAUUUAACACAUUUUAUUUACUUGGCUAGAUAAAACAAGUCAUUUUGACUGAAUAUCCAUGUAUGUCAGCCAAUGAGAAGGUUGCUUUGAUUUCCACAGACCAGCUAGGUCACCAUCGCCCGGCACCACCUCUUCAUGGUGAGCAUGUCAUCACGAGUCCACCUGCGGAUUUUUCUGCAGUUGACUAAUCACCCACAAAACCAAAAAUGUGAGUGUUCCCCACUACAGUUAUCAACGGAAAAUCGCUGUGUGUCUCAGGGAAGGGGACAAUGUUCUUGGCUGGAGUUCGACAAGGGAUGGUGUUUUCUGUAUAAAUGUGUAUACAUUUUUCCAAGGCCACUAUGGAAGGCUCAUUUGUUAGUGACAUAUAUAAGGAUUGGAAGCACCUUCACAAUUCAUUCUUCAGGCACCAGGCUAGCAAACGCUACUUUUGCACAGAAUACAUUUGAAGACUACAGUGCAAGCCAUCGCCAUCAAAGCCAAGGCCAUGUUUUAAACCAACUUCGACUUCAUAAAGCCCUUUUUACAUCAGCAGAUGUCACAAAGUGCUAUACAGAAACCCAGCCUACAACCCCAAACAGCAAGCAAUGGAGAUGUAGAAGCACGGUUCAAGGAAAAACUCCCUAGUAUGGCCGGAACCUAGGAAGAAACCUAGAGAGGAACUGGGCUCUGAGGGAUGGCCAGUCCUCCUUUGUCUGCUGGCUCCAUGUGAUCACUAUCAUAUCUCUGUUGAGGAUGCUGAAUUAACCAAAAAGUGGGGGGAGGUCAGGAAUUCCCAUCCCUUAUGAAGUUUUGGACAACUGCAGCCUUGACAUUUUCCCAAACAUCAAUAGACGACUAAUAUUAGGAAUCAAGGUAAGACCCAGAUGCAGACUGUCAAAGUUAACAUGUUUAUUGUGGCAACAGGGCAGGCAAAGACAGGUCAAGGCAGGCAGGGGUCGAACAUCCAGGGUAAGGCAAAGGUACAGGACGGCUGGCAGACUCAGGGUCAGGGACAGGCAGAGUGAUCAGGCAGGCGGGGACAGUGGCAGGACAGGCAAAUGUCAAAACCAGGAAAGAGAGGCUGAGAAACGAUAAGAGCUGACAGGAAAAACGCUGGUUAGCUUGAACGAAUUAGACGAACUGGCAACAGACAGAGAAAACGGGUAUAAAUACACAUGGGAUAAUAGGGAAGAAGGGUGACACCUGGAGGGGGGAUGGAGACAAGCACAAGGACAGGUGAAACAGAAUAGGGCGUGACAACUAAGGGCCAUCAUCACCCUUCCGAUGACUUCAUGAUGUCUGUAUCAAAAUAUCCAUCAAAACAUACCCGCUGUGAUAUCAUUAUGUAAAAUGUUUUCAUUCCUGAAUGCCUAUGCAGUAGUGUUUGCUUAUUCAAAGUGAGCUGUUCGCUUCAUACAGUUCAAGAUAUAAGCCUAAAGGGUUUGUAUUAUAUUGUGUGUGGCUGUUUUCAUAUGGCAAAAUGUGUGCACUUUUGGGCUUAAUGAAAACACUUUCAUGGCUUUCUAUUUCUAUCAUUCCUUGCUUCUUUGUGCAACAAUCUGUUUUCGCAAAUUCCAGUGUCAAGCUGGUGUCCGGGCCGAUUCGCUGACCAUGGUUCUGAAUACACCUAUUGUGCCUGUACUGUAGAUCGCUGCUUUGAAUGGGAGUGGUCGAUAUGAUCUGAUGAUAUGAUGUUAAUUUCAAGAGUUUGGACUGUCAGACUGAACACACCAAUUAUCUGUAUUUUUUGACAGUAUACAUUUAUCACUACUGUUAUCUGCUGCUGUAGAAUCUCUCUCUCUCUCUCUGAAUAUGUAGGUGAUAGACAUGUUGUCUAUUUCAUUAUGGCCUCUUUUGUCAGUGGUGUUGUUAUAAGAGUUUGUGUAGUUCCGCACUUGCACUGCCUAAUUGGCAAUAAUAAGGGGCUUAUUUGUCAAGGGAAAUGUGUGGUGUUUUUUGGUAACAUUUAUCCUGCGUUAUGUGUUAUGUGUUAUGAAUAUGUUGGGGCAUUUUAGCUGUAUUUUUGCUGAAAUAAAGUAUCCCAGACACUUUUA
Molecule: long non-coding RNA, 3383 nt
Organism: Oncorhynchus tshawytscha (Chinook salmon)
Lineage: Eukaryota; Metazoa; Chordata; Actinopteri; Salmoniformes; Salmonidae
Source: Ensembl